AUUGAACGCUGGCGGCAGGCCUAACACAUGCAAGUCGAGCGGAUGAAUGGAGCUUGCUCCUGGAUUCAGCGGCGGCCGGGUGAGUACUGCCUAGGAAUCUGCCUGGUCGUGGGGGAUAACGUCCGGAUACGGGCUCUAAUACCGCAUCCGUCCUGAGGGCGCAAUUGGGGGAUCUUCGGACCUCACGCUAUCAGAUGAGCCUAGGUCGGUUUCGCUAGUUGGUUGGGUAACGGCCUCCCAAGGCUACGAUCCGUAACUGGUCUGAGAGGAUGAUCAGUCACACGGGAACUGAGACACGGUCCAGACUCUGACGGGGAGCAGCAGUGGGGAAUAUUAGACGAGGGACGAAAGCCUGAUACAGCAAAGCCGGGUGUGUGAAGAAGGUCUUAGGAUGGUAAAGCAAUUUAAGUUGGGAGGAAGGGAAGUAAGUUAAUACCGGGCGGUUUUGACGGUACCAACAGAAUAAGCACCGGCUAACUUCGUG
Molecule: ribosomal RNA, 484 nt
Filed under: uncultured bacterium
Lineage: Bacteria
Description: partial 16S ribosomal RNA
Rfam family: Bacterial small subunit ribosomal RNA
Source: RNAcentral